CUUCUUCUCCCCCAUUUUCCCUCCUGCACUCCCCUCCAGCCACAGUGGCCUCCUGGCUGCACCCCUGCCUUAGAGUCUUUGCUGUUUCCCUGCCUAGAAUGCUUUUUUCUACCAGAUGUCUAUUUGAAUAACCCUCUUCCUCCUCCUUCAAGCCUGCUCCAAUGUCACUUCUUAGUGAGAUCACCUUAAAUAUCCUAUUGAAUCCUGCAACCUGCUGCCCCUUCAGCCCCUGCCCUCCCAAUCCCACUUACUCUGUUGUUUUUUUCCUCUUUUUCAGCAGAACAUAUACCUUCUAUCACAAGUUGGUUGCACCGGGAAAUAGAGUCCGAUAAGACUUCGGUUUGCAGGAAGUUUACUGGGGAAGACUCUUAAGGGAGUGGAGGAAGCACUUUAGGGACCUUUAGGGAGUGGAGGAAGCAGAACCAGGCAGAGGGAAAAGUUGAAUUGUGAUGUCACAACAAAGGCCUCAGCUGACCCCAUGGGGAGCUGUGAGCUGGGGUGACUUUCAAAGUCUUCUGCAUUAAGAAAAGAAGCUCCACGAGGGACAGGAAUAUCUGCGAGUAUAGCUCCCUGAUGUUUUCCAAGUGCCUGGAACAGUUUUGGCCCAUAGUAGGCUCUCCAUAUAUAUUUGCUGAAUGAAUGAAUGAACCUGCUCAUUUCUCAAUGUACUGCUUGUGUCUGCCAUCAACGUUACUGGAAUCUCAAUCCCAGUUUUGCCACCAAUCAGCUGUGCAAACUAUGGGCAAGUUUUCUAACUUUUUGGAGCCUCUGCUUCUUCAUCAGUAAAAUGGAAUAAGAGAAGUACCCAUCUCACAGGGUUUUAGGAGGAUGAGCCACUUUCCAGAUAUGAGCCCCUAAAAGACCCAGAGUCCAUUGAUUGAGGAGGAGGCCAAGUCCCCUUGAGGAAGGACUCCGCAAAGCCACUUCAGGACUUCGAUUGUCUCGACGUUCCAAAAACAUCAUGCUGGUCCACUAUACUGAUGGCAUCAUUCUCAACAAAUCCAACGAACCGGAAGUGGCAAGUACUGGGAUGCCCUAAUAAGAGACAUGCAUGUCGAGAGGACAUAAAAUCUACAAAGAUUCAGGCCUUCAAGCAUUGAUUAAGCAUAUACAGAUGUGACAACCAGUGCACAGAGAGAUUAAGUAACUUGCUGUCCAGCUGGUGUGUGGUGGAGCCCAGGGUGAACCCCAGGUGGCCUCUAAAGCAUUGUCUUCCAACGUGCAAUGGAGUGUGAAAUGUGGAAGCCGUGGGAAAGCACAGGAAAUCAGCCGUGGAAGAAGCAAUGGUUGGAUUUAUCCCGUGGCGACACCCACCACAGCUGCAUUCCGGUAAUCUGCACCCCUCAUCCCAACAUCCUCACCAUGCUCUGCGUGUGGGGCAACUUGUCUUCUUGAUCGGAGGAGAUCUACGGCGAGGCAGCCCUACCCUUUUGUUUCGGCUCUUGGAAAACCCCAAACCUCAAGGCCAUACACUCCUUGUGACCAAGUGAGCAUCUUGUCAACUUCCCGGCUUUUCCAAAGAGACCUAACUCCUGCUGGGGGUCCCCCAAGUCACCCCUCAUGGCCCUUCUAGUGCUCUGGAAAUGGCUGAAACCAAUGGGUUAACUUGCUUUCCCUAUUAAAUAUUUACAUAAGCAUGCUUGGGAAGGUGUGUGUAAGUUAUCAAUAAUGCAAGGCCAGCCUAGGCUGGGUGAGAGCUAAGAGACCCAAAUUGUAUCAUCAUAAUCCAUUAUUCACAUAUAAUGCGUCUAUUCUCCUCCAUUAGCGAAGGCAGGAAAUGCCCCUGAGUGCCGGGCAGGGCUUUGGAAAGCGCAAUAAAUGGCGGAUAGACACAUGGCAGGAGGGCGGCAGCUGUAGUUAAACAAGUGUAAAUUAGUGCCCAGCCCCGCUCCCUGCCUGCAGCCAGAGCAGUGGGCACAGGUCUGGCAGGGAGGGGGUUACAGGAUUUGGGGAAGGCGCUAUCAAUCCAGACAGCCCCGGUGGCCUCCCUGGAAACCCUUCCGGAGGAGCCCUCCGGCUGGCCACGUGGGAGACCAUGCCUCAGAGAGCACAGGCUUCUGCUCUGCAGGCCUGGGCUGGAAUCUCAGUUGCACCUCUGAGUGGUGACCUGGGGUGAGAGGGUGGAAGGGGCUGCUACUCAGUCUGCCCUACACUGAGCCUCGGGCCCCAUCUGUAAUACAGGGAUGAGAAUCGCCGUCUUACAAGGUUUUUGCGUGAAGGAAAUAAAAUGAGGAAGGAGAAGUUCCCAGCACCAGGCGCAUGGGAGGCCCUUACAGAAUGAAAGAACACCCCUCUCUCUCCUCCCACUAGGCAGUUUCUGGCUUAGGAAUAAAAUGUGAGGUGCUUGGCACUGCACCCAAAUGGAGGUGGUACAAAGGCAAAGCGAGGUAAAGACAGAAGUGGCUUUAUGUUGUCCCCUCUUCGGUGUCGCUGUCCCUAUAGGAGGCUCCUCCCCUCUGGACCUCACCCCAGCCCGGUGCUGCAGUCAGUCAGUCUCCUGGGCUCGGCAGGCACACUCACCAUCCACACCUCAUCUCCAGGGCAUCUUCAGGCUUUGGUCCAUCCUCAUCCUCUUUUUUUUUUUUGAGACUGAGACCCAGGAUGGAGUGCAAUGGCACGAUCUCAGUUCACUGCCACCUCCACCUCCCAGAUUCAAGUGAUUCUCCUGCUUCAGCCUCCUGAGUAGCUGGGACUACAGGCGCCCACCACCACGCCCAGCUGUUUUAUAUUUUUAGUAGAAGACAGGGUUUCACCAUCUUGGUCAGGCUGGUCUUGAACUCCUGACCUCAGGUGAUCCACCUGCCUUGGCCUCCCAAAGUGCUGGGAUUACAGGUGUGAGCCAUCACCCCCAGCCUGUCCUCACCCUCUUCUCAGCACUACCGUAUUUCCCUGGGAGGCGGGUCCUGCACAGAGACUAGUGUAUCUGCUGUAGAAACAACCCCAGAACAAACAGAAGUUUUGGAUUACCCAUGAACUGGAAGGUGGACUUUUGGUAUAAAGAGCACCAGACUGGGAGUUGGGAGAGCUGAGUCCUUAUCUCUGUCACCGCUGAUGCUCUGUGGUUCACAGAGAGUCCCAUGGCCUCUGGACUUCAGUCUCGCUACCUGUAGCAUCAGAGAGUUAAUCAAAUGAGAUGAUUACCCCGCAGGACUUAGUGAAUGUGAAGUGAUAGGUGUGGCUAGGUUUGUCUGAGGACCCUUCCUGGCUUCAGAACCCUGAGGAUUCUGGAUCAAGUCUUGUGGUGUCUCGUCCCCACAGCUACCAUGGGAUUUCUUCUAGCACCCAAGCUGUGUUGUGGCACAGAGACCCGGGGCCCUGGAGUCAGGUGGAUGGGCAUGAGCUUGACUCACCUUUUACAGAGGAGUCACAUUAGCAGCCCCUUCUUACCCCUGCCCUCCCACUGUAAGGAAUCACGAGCUCAGCACCUAACAGUAUGGCAGUGAUGGCUGCUCAGCAGAGGCCACAAAACAAAAUGCGGAUUUGGAAAGGCAGGAAGCAGGUGACCAGGUUUUGGACUUUUCAGACAAUGGUGUCCACACGUGGGCGAUUUGUCCGGGCCAGACCGCUUCUUGGCUCUGACGCCACCUCCACAGAGAUGCCCUCCCUGCCCUAUCUAAGAGCUGCUCCACCACUCUCUUUCCCCCACCCUUUUUAUUUUUCUUUCCAUCGCUACCUGACAUUUUAUUGUAUACCUGGUAGUUUCCUUGCCCAUUGUGUUUUCUCAACUGGAAUGUUGUUUCCACAAGGGCAGAUAUCUUGUCCGUCUUGUUCUCUGCUGUUCCCCUGAGGCCUAGCAUGGUGCCUGGCCCCUAGGAGAAAUGCGAUACAUACAUACUGAAUGAAUGAAUGAAUGAAUGAUUGUAGAUUCAAAUUUUGCACACAUAUAUCGAGCACCUACUCUAGGCAAGUCACAGUGCAGGUGCUUUGUCAUAUGUUACACAUUCAAUCGGCUUAACAAUGACAUCCAUGCAUAUAUAUUAAGACCAGUGGGCACUAACAUUAAAUUGCAAUUGAAUGAGCCUGGUAGGAAUCCUUCACAACUCCUCUCCUGCUUCAUUUGGGCCAGGGGGCCGAUCGUGAUCGGAAGGGCCAAACAGUUGAAUGAUGUUGUGUUUUGAUGUCUCCCAGGCUUUCCUUCUUGUCCUUCCUUCAGUCCAGCUCAUCCGCUCUCAAACUCAAGGGUGUUUAGGUAAAACUGUACUAGGCUCUAUACAAAGAAAACCAGAGAGCCAAUUUAAGGGAAUUCAAGAGCAAUUUGGACUCUAUGCAACUUUUGCCUGAUAUACCAGUUUUAGAAUCAAAUGCUCACAUACUAUGUAAGAUUACUCUAAUAGCGGUGUGGCUUUGGGCAAGUUACUGACCCUCCUCGAGCCUCAGCUUCCUUAUCUGUAUAUGAAGAGAUUAAUCGCCACCUUACAGAGUAGAAGAGAUCUGCAUAUGAUCUGUGUAUGAUAAGCGAUAGGUGGGUUUGAAUCCUACUUUCAGCACUAACUAGCCAUGUGACCAUCCAGUGCAGUCACUGCCCGUGGGGCAAUAGUCGGCAGGUGGUCAAAGAAAAGCCUCAGAGUGGGCGCAGUGGCUCACGAGUGUAAUCCCAGCACUUCGGGAGGCAGAUCACCUGAGGUCAGAAGUUUGAGACCAGCCUGACCAAUACAGAGAAACCCUGUCUGUACUGAAAAUACAAAAAAUAGCUGGGCGUGGUGGUGGGCGCCUGAAAUCUCAGCUACUCAGGAGGCUGAGGCAGGAGAAUUGCUUGAACCUGGGACGGUUGCAGUGAGCCGAGAUUGUGCCAUUGUACUCCAGCCUGGGUGAUGAGUGAAAUUCUGUCUCAAAUAAAAAAAAAAGAAAGAAAAAAUAAACACUUUAAGAGAACACAGAUGGUUACAUUUGACAAAAAAGGUUCUAGCAACCUCACCUCCUGGAAUCUCCAAAUGUUCUCCAGUCCUGCCUGCUUUACAACAUACAGUGGCCCUAAUCAGUCAGCAUUAUUAUCGUUCUUCAUUCAUUUAGCAAGUAGGUGUUGAGUGCUAUUAUGUGCUAGGCGCUGUACUAGGGAGCGCAGGAAACAAGUCAGGCAGUCCCCAUCCUCAUGGAGCAUGCAAUUUGGUGGCCACAGUGUUAAAAAACCCCAAGAACAAUAAUAACAAGACUGUGUCCAUUUAUAACAUGCCAGAUCCUGGGCUAUAUGCUUUCAUACGGCACCCUAUUUAACCCUCACAACAUUUCUAUGAGGCUCAUAUUAACAUCCUCAUUUAUAAAAACCUAAAGCCCAGAGAGGUUAUGUGACUUUUCCAAGGUCCCAGAAUUAGUAAGUGGCAGUGGAGACGCUGGAAUCCAGAUCCAUCUGUUUCCACAGUGUCACCGUGACCUUUUCCUCCGAAGUAGCUUCCAAAAAGGGAGAAACUCCUGGGCUACCUGGGACCUUCCAGAGGAAGGAAGGGCCUGGUGAGGACAGGAGGGAGCAGUUGAUCCUGAAAGCCUUGCUCAGUGCUGCAGUGUGGAGACUGUCCUCCUGCAGAUGCAGGAGCCCUGCGUGGGGUGAGGGGUAGUAAGUCCCAGCUCAGCAUGCUGGUGGAGGUGCCCCUGAGGAAGGGCCAGCCCUGGGCUUGUUUGGACGGUGCCCCAAGCUGGCGGUGUGACAUCUUUACUGUCUGAUUAUUUAUAGAGACCUGGGACAGCAGGCAGCCAAGGCAGCUCUGAAGUUAUGGGCUUGGGGACCAGGAGAAAUAAACAGCCUUGAACAACCCCAGCCUGGUACGGGAAGAUGUGGAGCCAGGAUGAGCUGUCUGCUCUGCAGCCUGCUGGGGGCCAUAUGAAGGGAGGAAGGACUGGGGUCCCUGGAGCCUGUAGAGAUCAUGUUGAUGAGUUAGGGAACAGGCCAGACACGUCUCUCCCUUGGCCACUGGGCUGGGGGAGAUCUGGGAGCCUCAGCCCUGUGAUGGAGGCAGUGAUCUCACUGGGGAAGGCCUGGGGCCUGGGGCUCAGGCCAUCAUGGACAAGAAGUUCCAGGCUGUUGAUUCUGCAUGAGGUCAGUUUUAUCAGGGUUCUAUUAGAGAAGCAGAACGUGCGUGAUUUGAGGUCUUGAUGCUUGGGGCAUGGCCGUUCCUGAUCAGGGGAGCUGCUAGGCAGUGGUGUCAGUCUGUAUCCACGUGUCUGCUCCAGACCUGGAGUCAGCAGGGCUGUCAGUCAGCAAGAGAAGAUGGACAGGAAGAGGAGGUGGCAAGGACAAGGCAGAACCUAAAAGGAUGGUCUGAACACACAAGGAGGAGCGUCACCAAUCGAGGGCUUGCUGGGACGGCAUCUGCUUCUCCCUGGGCCCUGGGUGGCCUCCCACUGCCUCCACGCCUCCAGCUGAUGAUUUGGGUGAUCUGCAGAAGAGCUAGCCUGCAUCACCACGAAGCUGCACACAAACCUGGCUCCGAGUUUGGAGAAGCUGAAAGAGGAGAUCAGCUGGGGUUGCCCCUCCAAGAUCCCAAGCCAACAAGGUGAACCAGCAGGUGGGCGGCACACUCAUGAGCUGAGAAUCACCUGAACCCACCCAGACCCUGGGGGCAAACGAAGCUGCUGCUCCACCUUCCGGAUCUCACACAAGUUUCUCCUGUGGUCACUCCUAACCCAGAACCAUUCAGGAAAGGAAAUUCCAGGACACGCAGUUCCAGCUUUGCUAAGUUGACACAUUAUGAAGCUUCUACAUUCACUGUGUAACUUUGACCAAGUCCUUGACCCUUUCUGGGCCUCAGUGUCAUCAUCAGUAAAAUGUGGAUGGACUUCUCAGUGGUUCCUCUUUUAAUGUAAAAAACAAAACAAAACAAAACAACAAACGAACAGCAAUAACACAACUCCAAACCCCCAAAACUCCAAAAACAAAACAAAAAAGAGGUGAAGAGACAUGCGUUGCCUCAUCUUUCCUUUGAGUGCCAAUGAACACGAGGUCUCCUCUAAAUAAACCUGCAAAUCCCCAGGAGGCUGAGGCCCCAGGCGGGGAAGCACUUGGGAUAGAUCAUUUGCAGGUCCCUCCUCCUCUGACAGAGAAAAUGAGGUUGAGCUUAAGGGCAAGACCUGAGCUCUAGCACUGCUGCUGAGUGACAAAGCAAGGUGCCAAGCCUCUCUGAACCCAGCUUCUUUCCCUGUGUGAUGAGGACAAUUCUUUUACUUUUCAGGGGUCCAUCACAUAGAUGUUGCCAGAUGCUGGGGUAGGGCUCAGAGUAUAUGACAGGCUUCUUAGAUGGUGACUCGGGAUCAGCUUUGUGGAAACUGCUGUCUGAGGACAGGGAGACAGUGAGCUCCAGGUCUCCUCCUCCAUGGAGCUCUCUGGACCAUUAACUAACGGUUUGGAAACCAUUUAAACAAAAGACUGUGGGGCUUCAGGACGAGGGAGACAGAUUCUUUCUGAGAAGGCUUGUAGGGGAGGGAGCCUUUGAACUGGGCCUUGAGGAAUGGAUGUAGCGGUGGUUAACCCAAAUGGAGGGAAAGAGGGUGGCUUAGGGAGAGUGAAGGCUGGGCAAAGCCUGCAGUUGGGUGCAUGCAGUGUGUAUCUAGGGACUGGCAAGGGCUAUGGUGUAGUGGAACAGAGACUUUGCAGGCAGGAAGAGGAAGGGGUGGGUGGAGAAGGAGCUGAGGAUUAGCUUGCAGAGUUUUGAACGCAUGCGAAAGCGUUCAUCCCAGCAUUCGCUGAAAUAGCAGCUAGUGCAGGAGGCUCAAGUGUGCAACACUAGAGUUGCCCCAAACGGGGCACCAGGGGUCCCCACAUUUUCCAGGCCUUUGGGGUCAUUCUUUCACAUUUAAAAGCGGUAACUCAAGCCCUUUCCAUGCAGUAGAAGCCCCUCUAAGUAUUCCCGAGGGAGGCUUACCAUCCUUUCAUCAGGUUCGCUGCCGCUGGCUGCCUAAGUGCCUUCUGCAUCCUGUAGUGCCUGUCCUCACUUGCUGAUGUCUUCAGUCCAAGCUGGACCCUGCCUGAUUUCCUCUGCUCGGGGAGUCCACUGGCCCAGGGAUGUUGGGCUUUAUCAAUGGUUUAUAGGACAAUCAUGGAAUAUUCAGUACCCUGCAUCAGACUUGCACCUUGGGAGGAGUAUUUUCUAAUUAAUUAAUUAAUUAAAAAUUUUGAGAUGGCGUCUCAUGCUGUCACCCAGGCUGGAGGGCAGUGGCACGAUCUCGGCUCAGUGCAACCUCCGCCUCCCGAGUUCAAGCGACCCUCUUGCCUCAGCCUCCUGAGUAGUUGGGAUUACAGGCGCAUGCCACCACACCUGGCUAAUUUUUGUAUUUUUAGUAGACAGAGUUUCACCAUGUUGGUCAGGCUGGUCUUGAACUCCUGACCUCAGGUGAUCCACCUACCUCAGCCUGCCAAAGUGCUGGGAUUACAAGCAUGAGUCACUGUGAUUGGCCAGGAGGAGUAUUUAUGUCACAGAAAUCAGCAAAUGCUGCACAUCAAGGUCUUUCAGCCCUUUCCUAGAGAGUUGUUUCUUCAACCCCCACCAGCAUAAUCAUUUGAACUACUGAUUAUGCGUGGUUCAAAUAACACUUUUGAAGUGAAGAUCCUAUAUCUGGGCCCUAUAUAAAAGUCCCUUAGCCAAAACCCAUACUGGGGAAGUUCUUGCUGUUGGAAUUCCUUCACAGGACCCUAAGUUUUCUGCCAUAUUGCUGGCAUUCUCUCUCCAUAAACUCCCCACACAUCUAUUUCUCCCAGAUCUUUGGGGAAACUCCACAUUCUACACGCAAUUCCACCCUCUCUUCGCCUUGCCAUCUCUUUCCAGGCCAUGUCCUGGGGUGGACGCUUUCCAUUUCACACCCUCAGAGGCUCACCAAGUUAUUUUUCUUUUCUAUAGGGAGGAAGUUGCAGAUAGGAGAGCUUGAAACAGAUUUGUUUUCCCUUCCACUAUGCGAGUCAGCUGAGUUGGAUUCAAAAGGUUGUUCCGCAGAUAUUAAAAGUGAGAAUUGGGAUGCCUGGAACAGCGUGGGAAACACUCGUGGGUCACAUGCUCGGAUCUGCACUCUCACUUCUGGGAAUCAGUUCUACGGAAACAUUUGCACAGAUGUAUGUGUAUGGAUGUAUGGUGGCAUGGUGGCACUGUGUGUGAUAAAUAUUGGAAAUCUUCUAAUCGCCUGGCAAUGGAGGGGUACGUGAAAUAAGCAAUGGAAUGUAUAAAGUAGAUCGAAAGGUAGAAGUGGGUCUCUAUACAUCCUGACAUGAAAUAUUUUCACAACAUUUUUACAGAAAAAAGUUGCAAAACAGAAUUUUUUUUUUUUGGUAAAAAUGUCUUAAAGUAUACAUACGUGUGUGCGUGUGUGUCUGUGUGUGUGUCUGUGUGUGUGUGUGUUUAUAGAAACAGAAAAAUGUCUGGAGGAUGAGCCUUCCACUGUUAAUAGUGGCAAUCUUAGGGAAUGGGUGUCUUUGGGGAGGGGGCAAUGUUCCCCUUUUAAUAUCCUAUAUUUCUGCAUAGUUUGCAUUUGUUACCAUAAGUGUAUAUUGCUUAUGUAAUGUUUUUAAAACCAAUUAUUUUUACAAAGAGAAAAUGCUUCGAACCCAAUGCCAAAUAUAGACAGUGGGAUGCAAAAUUGCUUACAUAUGGUGGUUACAACUCUACAGAAACUUGUGUCUGCAUGGACAGGAAUGGAGUGGGGAGCAUCCUAUAAGAAGUGACUGGUGGUUAGGGCAGGGUCCAGGGAGAGUUCUUUUUCCUUUCAGGAGGUUGGGUAGGGCUGAGAUCUGGAACAUCUCAAAUUCCUCCCAGCACCUUCCUUCAUUCCACUCCUAGCCAUGUUCCCGUCACUUACAAGUGGCAGUGGGGAUCAACUAUUCAAUUAUUUUUUAAUAGUCGAGCAUAGGUCUGAAUUGAAUAAAUCACAUUGAUGCCAAUUUCCAGGGAACUCCUUUCAUAUUUUAUGAUUCACUCCCCACCUUCCCCCCUUCCUUCCUUGUGCUCCUCCUAAUGAACCGGGAGACUGUGCAUACUGUUCGGAUGUCCCCACUGCUAAACCCCAAAUGGAAAUGCUGUGGCUGAAAGCAUCGCGGUUCUGGUUUUUUUUUUUUUCCUUUUCCUCCUUACAGUCCUGGGAAAUUGAUAUGCAGGCAGGAUUAUGUUUUGUUUAAAGCUCAGUCCUGGCAUCUGAAAGAAUACAUUAUCCAAAGUGGUGCAUGUGGUUGAAAUUCUGCAAAACUCAGUUGUGUCACACGUGGCUUGCCAAUGAGGGGCCCAGCUGGGUCUCAUGCAGCAUAAAUGCCCUGGAUCAGGGAGAGUGUAACCGUGGAAAACCAUCCGCUGAGGAAUAUUCCUGAAGUCAAUAAUUUAUCUGCUGCUGGUGGAAGGUAGGCCUACCAGGCACCUCUGCCACCACCGUGAUCACCUAAUAUGCCACCAACUCCCAGUCCUGGGGAUGAACUCUGCUUUCUUCCUUUCCAGUUUCUUUAAGAUUAGAAGAAUUUGUUCAAAGAACUGAUUGCACAUAAACACAGAGACUAGAGGGUUUUACCCACCCCCUCUUUCUUUUCGUUUUGUAAAAUGGUUGUAAAAAACAAACAAACAAAAAAACCAAGUCUGUUUGGAAUUUAGAAUUCUGGAACUGCAAGAGAAAGAACUGGACUUCACCACGUGUGCCUUGGUGGACCGCACUCUCCUGAAUCUUGUCCGUGACUAGGGCACACGGGGUGUGACUCAUUGGCGAUAAUUUGGGAGUCACUGUGGUCCCACUUGCUCUUUAAAUGUUAGAGUUUUAAUGAUUUAGGAACCAAAAGAAUAACUAAGGAGCCCAGCAGUCAUUAUCUCAAAUAAUGAGACUUUUUAAUGCAAAAUCAAUGUUUGUUAUAAUGAAAAUAGAUUCCUCAGCUCCUGCAGGGCCAAAUGUACAAAUCUUUUCUGCUGUUAAAUAAAAUGUGACGGCUCAUUUUCAGGAGGAUGGUGAGCAUUUUUAUUCAAGAGUAAAAAUAAAAUGUCAGAACUUAUUUACUUUUAUUAAGUGCUCAUUCUCAAUCAGAUACUCUAAUCAAUAUCUAAUUGGAGGCAAGGAAACGGAAAAUAAUUUUUAUGCCGACUUGGGAGAAGGUAAGGAAGGGAGAAGGAAGGAAGGCAAGAGAAAGCCGUCUAGUACAUGUUCAGUUAUAAAAAGGCAGAUACCUACUGAGCAGAGGCGUGGCGGCAGGACUGCGCUCGGUUUCCCGGUGUCGGAUCAUCACGUCUGGUGAAGAUCGGGACCAUUGUGAUUCCCAUUUACAGAUGACAAAACUGAGGCUUAGAGAAGAGAAUUGUCUACCUUCUCAUGUUUCUUAUGCGGUGGAGCCAGGAUGGAAAACAAGGUCUGUCUGACCUCUUAGCCCUGGCUAUCAAUUACUCUAUUUAUCUGCCCCCUCCAUCCUUUUAAAAAAUAAGUCUUGUAUUUUAUCUUGUAAAAAAAAAAAACAAACGAGUCAUUCUUGAGAGAUUACCAAUAGCAGAAGUUUUACUCCUAUGAACAUUGAAAAUGUAAACUUAAAAUAGUUUUGGAGGGUAAAGAUUUUUCUUAAAUGUAUUACAUACUUCUGUCUUGGGAAGCAGUACAUUGUGUAACUUUUUUUUAGUGACUCAGAAGUGGUUUCCAGGCUUAACUCUGUGCUGUAAGGAAUCUGUAGUCUAACGGUGAGAAGUGAGUUGAAAUCUUAGCUCUAAAGUCUGUUACUGAGUGCCUUGGGCAAGUUUCCCUACUCUGUUUGUGAAAGGAUGGAUCUUGUAAUAUCCUAUGAUUUUAAGUUACAGGGAGGUACGUUACAUCACUGUAAAAAAGAAUUUUCUAACCAUUAGGGUUAUCUGAAACGUGGCUGGGCUGCCUGGAAAGGGAGAGCACUCUCCAUCCCUGGAGUUAUUCCAUCAAGACCCGUUGUGGCAAUGAUACAGUUGAUGCAAAGUAUCUCAAGCACUGACCUUAGGAGCAGUUUAGGGAGGGUCAGAAUCCUGUAGCCUCCAGCACCAUGACUCCUAAACCAUCAUUUCUUAUCUUGUGGCUAUCUUGUCAGUCCUACAAAGGCCUAGUCCCCAGGCAAGAAGGAGGUUUGUUUUGGAGAGGGGCUGUUACCAUUUUUUGUUUUAAACUAAGUUAUAAACUAAGUUUUGUUAUAAACUAAGUUUCUCCCAAAGUUAGUUCAGCCUAUAUCCAGGAAGGAACAAGGACAGCUUAAAGGUGAGAACCAAGAUGAAGUUGGUUAAGUCAGAUCUCUUUCACUGUCUCAGUCAUAAUUUUGCAAAGGCAGUUUCAGUAUAACUCUCAGUCUGAGGCUGAAUGCCUGAGAACCGCCAGUGUAUGUGUGUGUGUGUGUAUAUGUGUAUGUUCAUGUGCGUGCUUGUGUAAGUCUCGGAGUCUGAAGGCAGGAGAAACUGAAGUUCUGAUAUCCAAAGGUGGGAGAACGAAAGGUGAGAGGACAAAUUUGCCCUUCCUCUGCUCGUUUGUGUUCUAUUUGGGCCUUCACUGGGUUGUCCACCCACAUUGGUGAGGCUGGAUCUUCUGUACUCAGACCAUUGAUUCAAAUGUAAUCUCUUCCAGAAACACCCUCAGAGAUACACCCAGAAAGAAGAUUUUACCCGCUGUCUGGUUCUUCCUUAACCCACUCAAGCUGACACAUAAAAUUAACCCAUAACAAUUAGGAACCAAUAUUAUUAUUAUUUCCAUUUUACAGAUGAGGCACGUUGGGGUGAAGUAACUUGCACAGGUCCCUGCCACCAGUCAGAGGUGGAGCUGGGCUGCAAACCCAGUUCAAAACCAGCCAGAGGUGGAGCUGGGCUGCAAACCUAGUCCAAAACCAGUCAGAGGUGGAGCUGGGCUGCAAACCCAGUCCAAAACCAGCCAGAGGUGGAGCUGGGCAGUAAACCCAGUCCAAAACCAGCCAGAGGUGGAGCUGGGCUGCAAACCCAGUCCAAAACCAGUCAGAGGUGGAGCUGGGCUGCAAACCCAGUCCAAAACCAGCCAGAGGUGGAGCUGGGCUGCAAACCCAGUCCAAAACCAGUCAGAGGUGGAGCUGGGCUGCAAACCCAGUCCAAAACCAGCCAGAGGUGGAGCUGGGCAGUAAACCCAGUCUAAAACCAGCCAGAGGUGGAGUUGGGCUGCAAACCCAGUCCAAAACCAGCCAGAGGUGGAGCUGGGCAGCAUGGUUCCAGGGUCUGUGCUCCCAGCCCCUGUACUGACCUGCCAUUUACUGCAUUGCUUUGAGUUAAUCACGGCUCCCUGUAAAAUGGCAAAUUCUACCCUUACAGCCUACAAGCUGUGUGAUCUCAGGCAAGUCAUCUACCCUCUCUGAACUUUGGCUUCCUUGCCAGACAGUGGGAAUCGUGAUGUUUAUCACAUAGGGCUCUUGUGAGGUUGCCUGUGAUUUGUGAAACCGUCUUAUAUGGGCCUGGAACCUAGCUGGUGCUCAGAGGAUGCUAAUU
Long non-coding RNA from Callithrix jacchus (white-tufted-ear marmoset), 13385 nucleotides. RefSeq lists it as uncharacterized. NCBI's taxonomy places the organism in Eukaryota, Metazoa, Chordata, Mammalia, Primates, Cebidae. The record is from RefSeq and is a predicted model, not a curated record.